This 21-nucleotide unclassified non-coding RNA is filed under the name Chlamydomonas reinhardtii. RNAcentral's name for it is "small RNA Cre_3521". The record is from RNAcentral. Lineage: Eukaryota; Viridiplantae; Chlorophyta; Chlorophyceae; Chlamydomonadales; Chlamydomonadaceae.
UGUAGCAGCACCGCCGGCGGC